UUGUUUUUUCUUCCAUGAAAAAAAAUGAAAAGAAAUGAAAAGAGAUUGCCUACUGAAAACAUCUGCUAUGUCUCCAUAAUUGAAGAUAAGGGUAAUAGAAGUGUCUUAAGUUCUUUCCCUUUCUAAGCAUCUGUAGUCACAAAGUACUUCUAUGUCUCCAUCUUAUGUUAGAGUUCAGCAAACAUCUGCUUUUUCUAUCUAUUUGGCAGGAUUGUGUUGGUGCGAUUGAUGGAGCAUAUAUAGAAGGGGAGGUUCCAAGAGAGGUGCAACAGGCGUAUCGUAAUCGCAAAGGAAGAACAUCACAAAAUGUCUUAUGUGCUUGUGAUUUUGAUAUGCGAUUUACCUUCUUUGCAGCCGGCUGGGAGGGCACGACACACAAUAAUAAAGUGCUUGAGAAUGCAAUUCUUGAUCUAGCGGCACAAUUCUCAUUUCCUCCACAUGAUAAAUAUUAUGUUGUUGAUGCUGGUCUUCGAAACACGAAAGGGUUUUAGCCUCCAUACAAAGGACUGCGCUAUCAUUUACAGGAUUACAGAGGGAGCGAAAGAGAGCCUCAGAACGCUAAAGAGUUAUUUAACUUUAGGCACUAGUCUGUGCGCAAUGUGAUUGAACAUACUUUUGGAGCUUGGAAAGUAGAUUCAGAAUACUGACACAAGACAUGAACCAUUAUGACAUUGAUACACAGGUGACCAUUGCCAUAGCUUGUGCAGUGUUACAAAAGUUUUUGCAAGAAUACCAAAGGAGUAAUGAAAUUUUUACGGAAUAUGAACAUGAUGACACAGUUGCUAAUGAUAUUGACCAACAGCCGGCUCAAAGUAACAAUGUUGGUUCAUCUUCUAGGUCAUCUGAUCUAUAAAUGCAUGCUCGGCGUGAAGAGAUUGUUCCUACCAUGUGGGAGGAUUAUAUUAAAGAGAAGUUACAUUACUAUUCAUGUUAAAUUUUUCUUUUAUUAUUGAAUUAAAAUUUGAUCAAUGGAUGUUGUAUUUUUUAGAAAGGACUUCUAGUAGCGUAUUAAUUUUGUUAUGAAUUAUGGCUUGUUCAUUUCCUAA
Long non-coding RNA from Lycium barbarum (goji berry), 1046 nucleotides. RefSeq lists it as uncharacterized. NCBI's taxonomy places the organism in Eukaryota, Viridiplantae, Streptophyta, Magnoliopsida, Solanales, Solanaceae. The record is from RefSeq and is a predicted model, not a curated record. The transcript is spliced from 2 exons.